GAACUGCGAUAAGUAAUGUGAAUUGCAGAAUUCAGUGAAUCAUCGAGUCUUUGAACGCACAUUGCGCCCCCUGGCAUUCCGGGGGGCAUGCCUGUCCGAGCGUCAUUGCUGCCCUUCAAGCCCGGCUUGUGUGUUGGGUCGUCGUCCCCUCCGGGGGACGGGCCCGAAAGGCAGCGGCGGCACCGCGUCCGGUCCUCGAGCGUAUGGGGCUUUGUCACCCGCUCGAUAAGGACCGGCCGGGCGCCAGCCGGCGUUUCCAACCUUUUUUUCUCAGGUUGACCUCGGAUCAGGUAGGGAUACCCGCUGAACUUAAGC
Molecule: unclassified non-coding RNA, 315 nt
Filed under: plant metagenome
Description: partial contains 5.8S ribosomal RNA, internal transcribed spacer 2, and large subunit ribosomal RNA
Rfam family: 5.8S ribosomal RNA (bases 1-105)
Source: RNAcentral